Molecule: long non-coding RNA, 344 nt
Filed under: Brassica napus (rape)
Lineage: Eukaryota; Viridiplantae; Streptophyta; Magnoliopsida; Brassicales; Brassicaceae
Description: long non-coding RNA (BNAP_LNC012011)
Source: RNAcentral
CUGGUUUCUGAUGAACAAAACAACCAAUCUCCGAGGCGUUCUCAAAAGCCAGUUGAAGUUGAAGGCGUAGGAACCGAUUCAAAGGCCAAGAAAGAUAUAGUACACCAAAGUAAUUGGUAAGGCUAUUAGCAUUCCAAAAAUAACCCUGCAUCCAUUUCACCACCAUAACAUGUGUUAUUUGGGUCCUCUAUAUGUAACAUAUUUGACCAAAAAUUAAUAUAAUGAAUAGGUUUGGAACUUACGCAGUGCUGAGAAUCGUGGGAUGCACAUUGUACUCUUUUGCAAACACAAACGGAACUAUUCCUUGAGGCAACGCAGCCUAUAUAUAAUCAACAUCAUCACCA